RNAcentral lists this unclassified non-coding RNA (239 nucleotides) under Hevea brasiliensis (rubber tree). The record is from RNAcentral. Lineage: Eukaryota; Viridiplantae; Streptophyta; Magnoliopsida; Malpighiales; Euphorbiaceae.
GGAAUAUCCACCUUCAGUUGUAUGUCAAUUUUGCCUGGCAACAAGUUGAAAGACUCUAUGUGAUCAAUAGAAUUUUCUGCCAAUGCUGCAUCAGCAGCACAUACUCGUUCCAGAGGAGAUGAGGACCAGUAAGGAAACCCAAGGAUCCCCAAAUUAGAAAACUGGAAGCUUGAUAGAGAACUCGAGUUCCUAUUGAGUUUUAAUACCGUUUGACCAACUGUAUCACAAAUGAGUAUCUG